RNAcentral lists this ribosomal RNA (1312 nucleotides) under metagenome. RNAcentral describes it as "bacterial SSU rRNA". It matches the Rfam family "Bacterial small subunit ribosomal RNA", at positions 196 to 1498 of the family's 1533-position model. The record is from RNAcentral.
GCAGGGGAUCGCAAGACCUUGCGCUGAUUGAGCGGCCGAUAUCAGAUUAGCUUGUUGGUGAGGUAAAAGCUCACCAAGGCGACGAUCUGUAGCGGGUCUGAGAGGAUGAUCCGCCACACUGGAACUGAGACACGGUCCAGACUCCUACGGGAGGCAGCAGUGGGGAAUUUUGGACAAUGGGGGCAACCCUGAUCCAGCCAUGCCGCGUGAGUGAAGAAGGCCUUCGGGUUGUAAAGCUCUUUCAGCCGGGAAGAAAACGCAUGGGUUAAUACCCUGUGUGGAUGACGGUACCGGAAUAAGAAGCACCGGCUAACUACGUGCCAGCAGCCGCGGUAAUACGUAGGGUGCGAGCGUUAAUCGGAAUUACUGGGCGUAAAGCGUGCGCAGGCGGUUUUGUAAGACAGGCGUGAAAUCCCCGGGCUUAACCUGGGAACUGCGUUUGUGACUGCAAGGCUAGAGUACGGCAGAGGGGGGUGGAAUUCCACGUGUAGCGGUGAAAUGCGUAGAGAUGUGGAGGAACACCAAUGGCGAAGGCAGCCCCCUGGGUCGAUACUGACGCUCAUGCACGAAAGCGUGGGUAGCAAACAGGAUUAGAUACCCUGGUAGUCCACGCCCUAAACGAUGUCAACUAGGUGUUGGGAGGGUAAAACCUUUUAGUACCGGAGCUAACGCGUGAAGUUGACCGCCUGGGGAGUACGGCCGCAAGGUUAAAACUCAAAGGAAUUGACGGGGACCCGCACAAGCGGUGGAUGAUGUGGAUUAAUUCGAUGCAACGCGAAAAACCUUACCUACCCUUGACAUGCCAAGAACUUUCCAGAGAUGGAUUGGUGCCCGAAAGGGAACUUGGACACAGGUGCUGCAUGGCUGUCGUCAGCUCGUGUCGUGAGAUGUUGGGUUAAGUCCCGCAACGAGCGCAACCCUUGUCGUUAAUUGCCAUCAUUUAGUUGGGCACUUUAACGAGACUGCCGGUGACAAACCGGAGGAAGGUGGGGAUGACGUCAAGUCCUCAUGGCCCUUAUGGGUAGGGCUUCACACGUCAUACAAUGGUCGGUACAAAGGGUCGCCAAGCCGCGAGGUGGAGCCAAUCCCAGAAAGCCGAUCGUAGUCCGGAUCGCAGUCUGCAACUCGACUGCGUGAAGUCGGAAUCGCUAGUAAUCGUGGAUCAGAAUGUCACGGUGAAUACGUUCCCGGGUCUUGUACACACCGCCCGUCACACCAUGGGAGCGGGUUCCGCCAGAAGUAGGUAGCCUAACCGCAAGGAGGGCGCUUACCACGGCGGGGUUCGUGACUGGGGUGAAGUCGUAACAAGGUA